Molecule: ribosomal RNA, 490 nt
Filed under: uncultured bacterium
Lineage: Bacteria
Description: partial 16S ribosomal RNA
Rfam family: Bacterial small subunit ribosomal RNA
Source: RNAcentral
AUUGAACGCUGGCGGCAGGCCUAACACAUGCAAGUCGAACGGUAACAGGAAGAAGCUUGCUUCUUUGCGGACGAGUGGCGGGCGGGUGAGUAAUGUCUAGGAAACUCUCUGAUGGAGGGGGAUAACUACUGGAAACGGUAGCUAAUACCGCGUAACGUCGCAAAACCAAAGAGGGGGACCUUCGGGCCUCUUGCCAUCGGAUGUGCCCAGAUGGGAUUAGCUAGUAGGUGGGGUAACGGCUCACCAAGGCGACGAUCCCUAGCGGGUCUGAGAGGAUGAUCAGCCACACUGGAACUGAGACACGGUCCAGACUCCUACGGGAGGCAGCAGUGGGGAAUAUUGGACAAUGGGCGCAAGCCUGAUGCAGCCAUGCCGCGUGUAUGAAGAAGGCCUUCGGGUUGUAAAGUACUUUUAGCGGGGAGGAAGGGAGUAAAGUUAAUACCUUUGCUCAUUGACGUUACCCGAAGAAGAAGCACCGGCUAACUCCGUG